Molecule: ribosomal RNA, 235 nt
Filed under: uncultured bacterium
Lineage: Bacteria
Description: partial 16S ribosomal RNA
Rfam family: Bacterial small subunit ribosomal RNA
Source: RNAcentral
UGGCGGACGGGUGAGUAAUGUCUGGGAAACUGCCCGAUGGAGGGGGAUAACUACUGGAAACGGUAGCUAAUACCGCAUAACGUCGCAAGACCAAGGAGGGGGACCUUCGGGCCUCUUGCCAUCGGAUGUGCCCAGAUGGGAUUAGCUAGUAGGUGGGGUAACGGCUCACCUAGGCGACGAUCCCUAGCUGGUCUGAGAGGAUGACCAGCCACACUGGAACUGAGACACGGUCCAG